CAACAAAAUCAUCUCUAUCGCGGGAAUAUAAAAUGCAGACGAAAAGAAACCCACGAAAUUCCUGCGUGUCACACAUCGGGCGACACUUCCGAGAGGCGGGCCUUUUCCUACGGAUCGUUCCCACGGGUCCAGCCGCACAACCCGACUACUUUCUCCUUUGCCUGCUGCAGUGCGUCCAGGUGAGCAGAUUUUGAAGAAAACGCUGAUGGUUGCAUACUAACAACUCAAAAAAUUAGGCCCUCCCUAAUCUGGGGCCCUGUGCGAUCGCACCGGCCGCACUCCCAUCGGCCCGAUCGCACUGACAGUCAAGCUCUAGCAGAAGGACAUUGUUAACCAUCCGGGACAUUGGUCUAUUAGAGUUUAUCUUUCUCAAAUUAUAUCUACCCAUUCUAAGCUGAAUUUCCAGAUUUAUACACUCAUAACGAUAAUAAUACUCUUACUCAUCAGCUUGCCAGGGCAGCAAAGAAUAGACGUCGCUGUUAAUGAAUAAAAUUCUCUUCUUAAAAAAAAAAAGUCAGACGGAGCAACAAAUUAUAAAGGGGAACCGGGGAAGCAGGCCGGCCGUACGUAGGGGCCCCUUUCAAGCAGCGAGAGACCGAAGCCCCUGUUCCUCCAUGGCCUAGGCCUAGCCAUUGGUGGAUGGAUCUUUCUUAUUACCAGACGGAGCUGCGGGGUUGUGGCGCCCGCUAGCACUCCUUCGAGCUUUCAAUCAUUGCCACAUUUGAGUUAAUAUCGGUGCAAACUGUUGCCCUGUCAUACGUACUCCACACAACGAGUUAAGCACAUAUGACAUCAUCAGCAACACAGCAAGCCCUAGGCCAGCCGCUUUUUUUUCGACACUGUAUGAGUGUGUGUUUUUUUUUCUUUGAGGAAGAAGCUAUCGGCAUGACCACUGCGCCUGCGUCUACAGUGCUUGGA
Molecule: long non-coding RNA, 918 nt
Filed under: Brachypodium distachyon (stiff brome)
Lineage: Eukaryota; Viridiplantae; Streptophyta; Magnoliopsida; Poales; Poaceae
Description: long non-coding RNA (BDIS_LNC000478)
Source: RNAcentral